GUGGGAGGAGGCCUGUGCAACGAGCAGAACCACAAAGCAUAGUUCUCUUGCAUAAACAUAACAAGAAGCUGCCAAUGGCGCCUGAAAUUCAUAAUAACUUAACUAUUAUAUAUUAAAAUCACAUAUGGAACUUUAUUAUGUUAAUAAAGUUUACUUACCCGGAUAUAUAAGGCAAAAAGUAUAUUUUCUUGCCGCUUCCAAAACUUCUUAUCAGAUUUGUGUUGAUCUGAUCAAAAUCAUUUGAUUCAUGAAUUGAUUGGGGAUCAAUGAAUCCAUAAUCAUCAAAACGCCCCAACUUGUUACUGACCCUAGACAUAUACCUGAAAUCAAAAAUUAACUUUGAUAUAAGGAUACUUGAUAUAUAAAUCAAUUUUAUAUAUAAAUAAUUGCUCAUAGAAUUACAUAAUCCAUAGUUGAAUAAUUGAAAUAUUCAACUCUUGUGUUCCCGAUGCAAGCUCACUGACAUCUUGGCUAUGAAGGUAUAUUGGGACCUCAGAGCCUGUCCCAAAUACAUUAGCAUCAUUCUCAACCUCCAAAGGCUUAUCUUCAAGGAUGUCAGCAAGUAGAUGCAAUGAAGCAAGAGGAUCAUCCUCAGAUAGAGGAAUCUUCUCCUGUGCUUGCGUCUGUUGUUACAUGAAAAAAAUAAGAUAAGUUUUGACAU
This 661-nucleotide long non-coding RNA is filed under the name Vigna radiata. RNAcentral's name for it is "long non-coding RNA (VRAD_LNC001112)". The record is from RNAcentral. Lineage: Eukaryota; Viridiplantae; Streptophyta; Magnoliopsida; Fabales; Fabaceae.